CUUGAACCCGGGAGGUGGAGGUUGCAGUGAGCCGAGAUCGUGCCAUUGCACUCCAGCCUGGGCAACAAGAGCAACUCCAUCUCAAAAAUGAGAAUGGGUGUGAUGUGUGAGUGUGAGAGCAGGUGUGUGGGAGCAUGCAUGAGUAUGCAUGCGUGUAAGCAUGCAAGUGGAUAUGCAUGAGCAGAAUGUAUGUGCAUGCGUGAGCAGGUGUGAGUGAGGUGCAAGUGUGUGUAAGUGGUGUGAAAUAUGAGCAGGUGUCAAUGAGGUGUGAAUGAGCUGGUGUGAGCGUGUGUGUGAGUGCAUAAGUGAGCAGCUGUGAGGUGUGAGCAUGUAUGUGAGCAGGUAUGUGAUGUGUGAGCAUAUGUGUGAGCAUGUGUGUGCAGAUAUGUGUGGGCAGGUGUGUGUGAGUGGGUGUGAGAUGUGAGCAUGUGUGUGAGGUAUGAAGUGUGAGCAUGUGUGAGGUGUGAGCAUGUGAGUGGGUGUGAAUGUGUGAGGUUAGCAUGUGUGAAGUGUGAGCAUGUGUGUGAGUAUGAGUUUGUGAGCAUAAGUGUGUGUGAGACUUGAUGUGAGGUGAGGAAGUGUGUGUAUGGAUAGGUGAGCAUAUGUGUGAGCAGAUGUGAGCAUGUGUGAGUGGGCAUGUGCGUGAGUGAAUGGUGAGGUGUGUGAGCACAAGUGUGUGAGCAGGGGCGUGUGUGGGGCUGAGCAAUGUGAGAUGUGAGCAGGUGUGUGUAUGCAAGUGUGUGUGAGGUGUGGGUAGGUGCGAUCAUAUGUGAGUGGAUAUGUGGGAGUGAAUGGUGUGGUGUACGUGUGUGUGAGCAGGGGCAUGUGUGUGCGAGGGUGAGCAAUGUAAGGUGUGAGGGUGAGCAGUGUAAGAUGUGUAAGCAGGUGUAUUUGUGCAAGUAUGUGUGAGCAAGUAUAAGCAGGUGUGAUUAUGAGACCUGGUGUGAGGUGUAUGAGGUGUGUGAACAUGAGUGUGUGAACCUGGUGUGAGGUGUGUGUGAGCAGGUGUGAGUGGGCGUGUGUAUGAGUGUGAGAAGGUGCCUUGGGUGUGACCGUGUGUUGGGGCAGUAAGUGGGUCUGAGUGUGUGUGCAUGUGUGUGAGUGGGUGCAUUGGGUGGGUGUGAGUGUGCAUGUGAGUGAGUGUGAAUGUGGUGUGAGCAUGAGUGGGUGUGACCAGGAUUGUGUGAGUGGGUUGUGAAUGUGUAAGCAGAUGCAGUGUGGGUUUGAACAUGUGGGUGGGUGCAAGCAUGUGAGUGGGUGUGUCGUGUGGGUGCCAGUGUGCGGGGGCAUGUUAGUUAAUGAGUGUGAGCAUGUGUGUGGGUGUGAGUUGGUGCAUUGUGUGGGUGUGUGAGAAAGUGUGUCGGUGUGUGAGGGCAGAUGUGGGUGUGAAUGUGCAAGUGGGUGGGUGUGGGUGCAAUAUGGUGUGUGGGUGCAUUGCACAAUGCAUGUGUGUGAGCAUGUGGGUGUGAGUCUGUGAGCACGUGCAUUGUGUGUGCAUGUGUGUGACAGCAUGUGUGUGAUCAGAUACAUUGUGUGUACGUGUGAGCGUGUGUGGGUGUGAGCAU
Molecule: long non-coding RNA, 1565 nt
Filed under: Pan troglodytes (chimpanzee)
Lineage: Eukaryota; Metazoa; Chordata; Mammalia; Primates; Hominidae
Description: long non-coding RNA NONPTRT003053
Source: RNAcentral